RNAcentral lists this ribosomal RNA (805 nucleotides) under Bacillus sp. (in: firmicutes). RNAcentral's name for it is "bacterial SSU rRNA". It matches the Rfam family "Bacterial small subunit ribosomal RNA", at positions 71 to 859 of the family's 1533-position model. The record is from RNAcentral. Lineage: Bacteria; Bacillati; Bacillota; Bacilli; Caryophanales; Bacillaceae.
GAUGGGAGCUUGCUCCCUGAUGUUAGCGGCGGACGGGUGAGUAACACGUGGGUAACCUGCCUGUAAGACUGGGAUAACUCCGGGAAACCGGGGCUAAUACCGGAUGCUUGUUUGAACCGCAUGGUUCAAACAUAAAAGGUGGCUUCGGCUACCACUUACAGAUGGACCCGCGGCGCAUUAGCUAGUUGGUGAGGUAACGGCUCACCAAGGCAACGAUGCGUAGCCGACCUGAGAGGGUGAUCGGCCACACUGGGACUGAGACACGGCCCAGACUCCUACGGGAGGCAGCAGUAGGGAAUCUUCCGCAAUGGACGAAAGUCUGACGGAGCAACGCCGCGUGAGUGAUGAAGGUUUUCGGAUCGUAAAGCUCUGUUGUUAGGGAAGAACAAGUACCGUUCGAAUAGGGCGGUACCUUGACGGUACCUAACCAGAAAGCCACGGCUAACUACGUGCCAGCAGCCGCGGUAAUACGUAGGUGGCAAGCGUUGUCCGGAAUUAUUGGGCGUAAAGGGCUCGCAGGCGGUUUCUUAAGUCUGAUGUGAAAGCCCCCGGCUCAACCGGGGAGGGUCAUUGGAAACUGGGGAACUUGAGUGCAGAAGAGGAGAGUGGAAUUCCACGUGUAGCGGUGAAAUGCGUAGAGAUGUGGAGGAACACCAGUGGCGAAGGCGACUCUCUGGUCUGUAACUGACGCUGAGGAGCGAAAGCGUGGGGAGCGAACAGGAUUAGAUACCCUGGUAGUCCACGCCGUAAACGAUGAGUGCUAAGUGUUAGGGGGUUUCCGCCCCUUAGUGCUGCAGCUAACGCA